Molecule: long non-coding RNA, 199 nt
Filed under: Elaeis guineensis (African oil palm)
Lineage: Eukaryota; Viridiplantae; Streptophyta; Magnoliopsida; Arecales; Arecaceae
Description: long non-coding RNA (EGUI_LNC056246)
Source: RNAcentral
GAACCUUUCUUAAUCUCCCAACUAAUCAAAAAGAACAACAACCAAAAAAUAGUUGUAACUAACUCCCAACAACCCAAGAGGAUGAAGAAGAAGAAAAAACCAACAACUUGGCACCAACCCUUGACACCAAGGAGAGAUGCCACCCACCUCUCUUCUAGCUCCAACAAGGGGAUGUCUAGAGAGAGAGGGUAUGGGCUAG